Molecule: ribosomal RNA, 497 nt
Filed under: uncultured bacterium
Lineage: Bacteria
Description: partial 16S ribosomal RNA
Rfam family: Bacterial small subunit ribosomal RNA
Source: RNAcentral
GAUGAACGCUGGCGGCGUGCCUAAUACAUGCAAGUCGAGCGAACAGACGAGGAGCUUGCUCCUCUGAUGUUAGCGGCGGACGGGUGAGUCACACGUGGAUAACCUACCUAUAAGACUGGGAUAACUUCGGGAAACCGGAGCUAAUACCGGAUAAUAUAUUGAACCGCAUGGUUCAAUAGUGAAAGACGGUUUUGCUGUCACUUCUAGAUGGAUCUGCGCGGCAUUAGCUAGUUGGUAAGGUACCGGCGUACCACGGCAACGAUGCGUAGCCGAACUGAUAGGGGGAUCGGCCACACUGGAACGGAGACACGGUCCAGACUCCUACGGGAGGCAGCAGUAGGGAAUCUUCCGCAAUGGGCGAAAGCCUGACGGAGCAACGCCGCGUGAGUGAUGAAGGUCUUCGGAUCGUAAAACUCUGUUACUAGGGAAGAACAAAUGUGUAAGUAACUAUGCACGUCUUGACGGUACCUAAUCAGAAAGCCACGGCUAACUACGUG